AUACGGAGGAUCCGAGCGUUAUCCGGAUUUAUUGGGUUUAAAGGGUGCGCAGGCGGCCAUUUAAGUCAGCGGUUAAAUCGUGGGGCUCAACCCCAUUCUGCCGUUGAUACUGGGUGGCUUGAUUGCGGUCGAGGUUGGCGGAAUUCGUUGUGUAGCGGUGAAAUGCAUAGAUAUGACGAAGAACACCGAUUGCGUAGGCGUCUGACCAGACCGCAAAUUGCGCUCAUGCACGAAAGUGCGGGGAUCGAACAGGAUUAGAUGCCCUGGUAGUCCGCACAGUAAACGAUGAAUACUUGUUUUCGGCGAUAUAAUGUCGGAGGCAAAGCGAAAGCGAUAAGUAUUCCACCUGGGGAGUACGCCGGCAACGGUGAAACUCAAAUGAAUUGACGGGG
This 392-nucleotide ribosomal RNA is filed under the name uncultured bacterium. RNAcentral's name for it is "partial 16S ribosomal RNA". It matches the Rfam family "Bacterial small subunit ribosomal RNA", at positions 523 to 918 of the family's 1533-position model. The record is from RNAcentral.